GUGCUCACUUUGGCAGCACGUAUACUAAGACUGGAAUGAUACAGAGAAGAUUAGUAUGGCCCCCAUGCAAGGAUGACACACAAAUUCAUGAAGCAUUCCAUAUUUAA
Molecule: small nuclear RNA, 107 nt
Filed under: Zalophus californianus (California sea lion)
Lineage: Eukaryota; Metazoa; Chordata; Mammalia; Carnivora; Otariidae
Also listed under: 1 other name
Source: RNAcentral